UCUGCUAAAUGUGCAGUACGCCACUCCCGAUAUUCUGCACCGUGUGCAUGCUCAACGUAACACGCGACGGAACUUGGGCUCUGAAUCAACGUCAGUGAACAAGCGGAACAGUUUUCCAAGGUUCUAUCUCAUUGGUUAGAACAUGCCUCCGUAACAUGGGACACUCCACAAAGAUACCUUUCUGAAGCGAUCGAAGUUGCUCAACACAGAGCAGUUCAUUUUGUAACUAUCGACUACUCAUAAUCUACACGAGUCACAGCUCUAAAGUCACCUGUGGCUAUGAGUGACAGAUGGAGACAGGACUGCGGGAGUACUUCUGUUGAAUGUUCUCUUCAACUAUCUGUUGUUUAACAUGAACACUGAAAUAACAUGUAUCGUAUUUUCUCGAUUAUAAGACGACCGGUAUCACGUGUUGCGGUGUCAGCACGAUGCAAAUAUGCAAUAUGGGC
Molecule: long non-coding RNA, 449 nt
Organism: Ornithodoros turicata
Lineage: Eukaryota; Metazoa; Arthropoda; Arachnida; Ixodida; Argasidae
Exons: 4
Source: RefSeq, a predicted model, not a curated record